UACAAAGUCCUAGUUUUGUAAUGUUGCUACACAUGAACCAAGUUCACGACAAAGUUUUGGUGAUGUCUACCACCAAUGAUGCAUCAUCACCCAUGGCUCCUUUAAAUUAAAACUUCGUUCUCAUCAACCAAAUGCUCCAAAGUGUAAUUUCUUUUUACAUUUUGACGUGUAGCUUCUUUGUGUCUGUCACACAUGACAUUCAUCUUUUCCUUUCAUUCCUUCACCACUCACACAGUCGCACCAGUAAAUUUGAUCAGUCUCUUCUCUUCUUGGCUUUUCCUCCUUACGUCAAAAGCAUAUUCACAAAUCACAAUGGUGGAAAUCGUCGGUUCUGCAACCGCUUUAGACCGGAAAACCAUCAGUUUUGUCGGUUUUUUCUGUUUCUGGAGCUUCCUCCUGUUGUUAUGAAGUCAGUCCGAAAAGAAAGAAGGAGGCUCGGGCUCGGGCUUGGGCUUUCAAAUAUUAUUUCAGCCUACGUAGUUUAUGUUGUAUAAAAUGCUACGAAGACCUGCAAAACAAGAUCAAUAAGAAAGAUCUGAGACGUGCUGGACGCACUGUCCUCAAGGAUUUUCCGCGUGUAAAACGCUAACCCUUCCAAGAUAUAACAGACCCUUCCCGGCAAACCGAGGAUUCAGAACUGACAAGAGAUAUGAGACAGGUAGUGUAACCAGAAAGAAAGAUGGAAGUGUGAAAGGGAUAUGUUUUGUUGUUUUCGUGAGUUGUGUUUUUUUUCUGUAUUUUAAUAUGUGCUCCUCCAAACAAUUUAUAUAGGCCAUUUCCAAUAACAAACUGCUGAGCAUAAUAAAACGUGGGAUGUACACAUACUCAGCACUGCCACUUCUUGGCAUAAAAAUAGGGAUACUAGUAAAACUAAUUUAUUGUGCACGUUAUAGUGAUGUCAAGACCAAGUAAAACCAAUGCAAAGUAAUUGAAAAGGAAGUUCCACAAAUCAUGGCAACGUGAUAUUCUGCCAAAUCAGCUUCUUAGGAAUAAGUCAACAAGGCUAAUUUUCUUAAUAAAAUUAGUUAAACCAUUUUUAUAAUAAAUAGAAAAUGAAUAACUUUUGAAAUAUCUCAAAUAUACAACAAUCCCCCACAUAUUUCAAAAGUUUAAAAGAAAUUAUUUAAAGACUUUCUGGGUUAACACGUGGAUGUGAUGCAUCAAACUGGUGUAGCAAGCUAUAUGAACCAGUCCUAGAAUGGUAAACUUAACACACAGUGAAUUUGGUGUAGCAAGCUAUAUGAACCAAAGACACUUGUGUAUGUUAGAGGUCUAUCACCCGCAUCGCACCCCCACAAUUCUUGUCGUUGGCGCUGUGGUGCGCAAAUAGGCCGUGCGCGUGCUUGGAUAUUUUCAUGAGUGCUCUAGAGAUUUCGCCAAUAUCUCAUGCAAGCGGCCCCACUUGACACUCACAUAGGUGACUUGUUAGCAUAACUAAUGAGUGACUUGUUAUUACCCAUAUGAACCUUAUUCAUGGGAUCUCCAAUCACAAAGGUUGGGUUCCUAUCACUUAUUAAUUUCGAAUGGCUCAAGUCUAAUUCCCCUCGAUGUGUCACAUAUUAUUUUCCUCCCUAGGGGUUUUAUCGGAUCCGUUAAAUUCACAAAUAUUGAUUAAGACGUUUCUUAAUCAAAUAAUCUCAUGUUUACAAGUCUCAUGAACUCGGUGUAUAUAAUAAAAUUUAUACAGGUCUACUUAGAUAUUUACUAAGCGACAACACCCCCACAAUGAGUAAAAUUAAUACUCAUUGAUUUCAAAUCAAACUAAUAUCAUUGCAUUAUUUUACACAAUGGUUUGUACGCUCUAACCAAUAUUACAAUUCACAUUAUAAAGUAAUUUUGCAGAGAAUGAAAAUUUAAUGAACCGCUGCAAUAGUAACCUUGAUUGCCAUCAGUUUGGACUCUAACCUAUCAAGGUCACCAUCACAAACUUACUACAAAGGUUGUUGCCUAAAUGACUUUGGUAGCUUUACGAAUACAUCUUCCUACACUAAAAAGGUUCACAUAUACUUACCAAAACAUGCACAUUCAAAAUUAUGUUUUCCUAAAUAUAAGACUUGUCAUAUGAUGAUAGUAAUGUAUUAACAAAAUAAAAUACAACACCUAUCUAAAAUCAUGAUGACAGUGCAAAAAUAAAAUACUGAUAAAACUACAUAUAGAACUUGAGUUAUAUAGAAAAGAAUUGCUUACUUCCAGUCAAUGCGUAGACUGUACAAAACAUUAUAUUAAAGUAUAUUUAAAUCAAAUAAGUUCUUAUUUAAUACUUCAUUUAAAUGCCAACGUAUUUCAUGAUGUAGACUAUUAACAUAAUGUUUCAUAAAAUUACAAGACCUUAAUAUAAGACCUUGUUUCAUCUGGUUUGUUCAACACCAGAAUAUUAAGCAAAGUAAUUUCAAAAUUGAAUAGUUCAUACAAUCAUACAAUAAAUUAAAUUGCCAUAUCUCAAUACAGUAACAUAUAUAUGACAGAUAAAUACCAAGAUUAUAUCCAGAAGGAGAACUAAUUCAAUUUCAAACUUGAGAAAAUAACAUGGCAUUGGCAUCCAUACGUGGCUAGAACAAUGACCGUUUUAAAUUAAGAAAAGUACUCAAAUUAAGAUCAUGUAGAACAUAUAAUAGUAACACAGAAAGCAACUGAAUUCAAUUUAACAAAAUGAAAUGACAUGACUGAACCAAAGCUUUUCAGCAAUGUUUAUUCUAGGUGCCAUACUAAUAAGCAAAAGAAAAUCUGAUCCCUCUAAAGAAGGAACCUAAUUAUGCAUAACUUCAGCAAUGUUUAGUACAAACAGACCCUUGUCACAAUAACCUUUCCCCACAAAUACAUUAUCUUUUGUCAUUACAAUCUUGUCAGAUUCAAAUGACACUUUAAUCCCACCCUUGCUCAAAAGAGCCACUGAAACCAGAUUGGUCCUUAUAUUAGGCACAUGUAAGACAUCACUUAGAGCCAAGGUCUUUCCUGAUGUGAGCUUCAACAUAACUUUCCCUUUUCCCGAAACAGCAGCAGUUCGAGAGUCACCAAGGUAAACCAGUUCUUCUCCAUCCCCCACAGUAUUGUAGGAGGUGAAGGCAUCCUUAGUAGCACAUAUAUGUCGGGUAGCUCCAGAGUCUACCACCCAUUUGUUCACAUCAGUCACAAUGUUUGCUUCAGCAAUAACUGCAGCAAUAAUGUCAUCAUCUCCUUCAGCCAAAUUGGCUUCAGGAGGAUUCUCAUUCUUCUUUCGGUGUCUGCACUGAGGUGCAUAGUGACCUAUCUUACCACAUACAUAACAAUGUCCUCCAUUUCCAUUUGUGAAAGUGGGAUUAGUAACACGAGGAACAUGAUUAUUUUUAUAGUGACCAGAUUUACGAUUAGGUUUGUUAUCAUACCUCCUUUUCUGAUUAGUGUUGUUCUGGAUCAGAUUUGCUUGGGAAGCUAAAGCCCUGGCCUUGGCAGCCCUGCUCUCCUUUCGGUUGGUAUUCUCUAUGAUGAUGUGUGUAAUAAGAUCUGCCAACGGCAACUGCUUCUGCUUGUGCUUCAGCUGGUUCUUGUAAUCGUUCCAUGAUUCAGACAAUUUUUCAAUGAGAAUUCCAGCAAUGAACUCGUCUGGGAGAGGAAUAUUUUCAGCCUUUAAUUCUUCAAUCAGUUUGUGAUAUUCAUUGAUUUGAUCCUUAAUAUCUUUCUCUUCUAACAUCGUCCAGCGGUAGUAAUUGCCUAUGACGAAGUUUUUCUUUCCAGCAUUUUCAGCGGUAUAUUUCAGAACCAUGGAAUCCCAUAUUUCCUUCGCUUCCUUGUACGAACAGUAGACAUCGAAUAACUCAUUAGACAAGGUAGUCAUAAUAGUGUGACGACAUACCUUAUUUGCAUGUUCCCAUGUGUCGACUUCUUUCUGAGUUGAUGAAGACGGUGGCUUAGAGUUGGUGAGGGCUGAAGCGACACCGUGUAAGUCGAGGGUUGAGCUGAUGCGCUCCUGCCACCUUCGAAAGUUCUGACCCGCAAAGACUUCGAUCUUUGAAACGUCGGGAAACGGUUUGGCAUAGUUGAUGGUCGGCACAACAAGAUUUUGUUGCUGAACCUUUGGAGCAUCGUUUUUGGGAGAGCCGUUGUUGGAGUUGUCUUCAGUAGUCAUUGAAACUCCUUGAGAUUGUUGUAUGAAAUGCUACGAAGACCUGCAAAACAAGAUCAAUAAGAAAGAUCUGAGACGUGCUGAACGCACUGUCCUCAAGGAUUUUCCGCGUGUAAAACGCUAACCCUUCCAAGAUAUAACAGACCCUUCCCGGCAAACCGAGGAUUCAGAACUGACAAGAGAUAUGAGACAGGUAGUGUAACCAGAAAGAAAGAUGGAAGUGUGAAAGGGAUAUGUUUUGUUGUUUACGUGAGUUGUGUUUUUUCCUGUGUUUUAAUAUGUGCUCCUCCAAACAAUUUAUAUAGGCCAUUUCCAAUAACAAACUGCUGAGCAUAAUAAAACGUGGGAUGUACACAUACUCGGCACUGCCACUUCUUGGCAUAAAAAUAGGGAUACUAGUAAAACUAAUUUAUUGUGCACGUUAUAGUGAUGUCAAGACCAAGUAAAACCAAUGCAAAGUAAUUGAAAAGGAAGUUCCACA
RNAcentral lists this long non-coding RNA (4580 nucleotides) under Medicago truncatula (barrel medic). RNAcentral's name for it is "long non-coding RNA (MTRU_LNC004566)". Lineage: Eukaryota; Viridiplantae; Streptophyta; Magnoliopsida; Fabales; Fabaceae. The record is from RNAcentral.